Maylandia zebra (zebra mbuna) is the source of this 487-nucleotide non-coding RNA. NCBI's taxonomy places the organism in Eukaryota, Metazoa, Chordata, Actinopteri, Cichliformes, Cichlidae. The record is from RefSeq and is a predicted model, not a curated record.
CAAAACUCAAAGAUAUCAUGGGCAAGCAGCUGUCCCCCUGUACAAGAAUGAGUAUACCUGGUUGCAGCGUUACAAUCAUAUCAGAGAGUAUGUUGAAGGCGGUUCGGAGGCACCGACUUUUUUCCACAGUUCUAGUGGAGGUGUUCUUCAUAGACUACCGGUAUUUUUCAAGGCAGCCUGGGAGAUGAUGAAUCUGGGGAUUGCCCCCACCUUCAACAUGCUACGUUCCUCCUGUAGCACUUACGCCAAGCGACAGUUGGGACGUAAAUCUUACGACAGAGUGGCAACAUUUAUGUGCCAUGAUGCCAUCACAGCCAAAAGAUUUUAUCAAGCUGAGGACCCUGCAGAGGACACACUCCAGAGCCGAGCACUGACCACCAAUGCAAUUGCAACAUAUGCAGCAAAUAAAAGGAAAAGGAGAGAGGACAGAGGAUCUGUGCAGGACGAGGACAGUGAAGGAUCUGACAAGGAAGAGCAGCAGUCAUCA